This 452-nucleotide ribosomal RNA is filed under the name uncultured bacterium. RNAcentral's name for it is "bacterial SSU rRNA". It matches the Rfam family "Bacterial small subunit ribosomal RNA", at positions 29 to 526 of the family's 1533-position model. The record is from RNAcentral.
AACGAACGCUGGCGGCAUGCCUAACACAUGCAAGUCGAACGAGACCUUCGGGUCUAGUGGCGCACGGGUGCGUAACGCGUGGGAAUCUGCCCUUGGGUUCGGAAUAACAGCGAGAAAUUGCUGCUAAUACCGGAUGAUGUCUUCGGACCAAAGAUUUAUCGCCCAGGGAUGAGCCCGCGUAGGAUUAGCUAGUUGGUGGGGUAAUGGCCUACCAAGGCGACGAUCCUUAGCUGGUCUGAGAGGAUGAUCAGCCACACUGGGACUGAGACACGGCCCAGACUCCUACGGGAGGCAGCAGUGGGGAAUAUUGGACAAUGGGCGAAAGCCUGAUCCAGCAAUGCCGCGUGAGUGAUGAAGGCCUUAGGGUUGUAAAGCUCUUUUACCCGGGAUGAUAAUGACAGUACCGGGAGAAUAAGCUCCGGCUAACUCCGUGCCAGCCGCCGCCGUAACAC